Molecule: ribosomal RNA, 406 nt
Filed under: uncultured bacterium
Lineage: Bacteria
Description: partial 16S ribosomal RNA
Rfam family: Bacterial small subunit ribosomal RNA
Source: RNAcentral
AUUGAACGCUGGCGGCAGGCCUAACACAUGCAAGUCGAGCGAGCGGCGGACGGGUGAGUAAUGUCUGGGAAACUGCCCGAUGGAGGGGGAUAACUAAUGGAAACGGUAGCUAAUACCGCAUACCAUCGGAUGUGCCCAGAUGGGAUUAGCUUGUAGGGGAGGUAAAGGCUCACCUAGGCGACGAUUCCUAGCUGGUCUGAGAGGAUGACCAGCCAAACUGGAACUGAGAUACGGUCCAGACUCCUACGGGAGGCAGCAGUGGGGAAUAUUGCACAAUGGGCGCAAGCCUGAUGCAGCCAUGCCGCGUGUAUGAAGAAGGCCUUCGGGUUGUAAAGUACUUUCAGCGGGGAGGCGUUACCCGCAGAAGAAGCACCCGCUAACUCCGUGCCAGCAGCCGCGGUAAUUC